RNAcentral lists this ribosomal RNA (386 nucleotides) under uncultured bacterium. Its description in RNAcentral is "bacterial SSU rRNA". It matches the Rfam family "Bacterial small subunit ribosomal RNA", at positions 28 to 410 of the family's 1533-position model. The record is from RNAcentral.
GACGAACGCUGGCGGCGUGCUUAACACAUGCAAGUCGAGCGGUAAGGCCCUUUCGGGGGUACACGAGCGGCGAACGGGUGAGUAACACGUGGGUGACCUGCCCUCAGCUCUGGGAUAAGCCUGGGAAACCGGGUCUAAUACUGGAUAUGACUCCAUGACGCAUGUUGUGGGGUGGAAAGCCUUGUGCGGCUGAGGAUGGGCCCGCGGCCUAUCAGCUUGUUGGUGGGGUGAUGGCCCACCAAGGCGACGACGGGUAGCCGGCCUGAGAGGGCGACCGGCCACACUGGGACUGAGACACGGCCCAGACUCCUAGGGAGGCGAGCGAGUGGGGAGUACUUGCGCAAUAGGGCGGAAAGACCUGACGCAGCGACGCCGCGUGAGGGAGU